UACGUAGGGGGCAAGCGUUGUCCGGAAUCAUUGGGCGUGAAGAGCGUGUAGGCGGUCCAGUAAGUCCGCUGUGAAAGUCAAGGGCUCAACCCUUGAAAGCCGGUGGAUACUGCUGGACUAGAGUCCGGAAGAGGCGAGUGGAAUUCCUGGUGUAGCGGUGAAAUGCGCAGAUAUCAGGAGGAACACCGAUGGCGAAGGCAGCUCGCUGGGACGGUACUGACGCUGAGACGCGAAAGCGUGGGGAGCAAACGGG
RNAcentral lists this ribosomal RNA (253 nucleotides) under uncultured bacterium. Its description in RNAcentral is "partial 16S ribosomal RNA". It matches the Rfam family "Bacterial small subunit ribosomal RNA", at positions 524 to 776 of the family's 1533-position model. The record is from RNAcentral.